CCUACGGGCGGCAGCAGUGGGGAAUAUUGGACAAUGGGCGAAAGCCUGAUCCAGCCAUGCCGCGUGUGUGAAGAAGGCCUUCGGGUUGUAAAGCACUUUCAGUGGGGAAGAAAGCCUUGGGGCUAAUACCCUCGAGGAAGGACAUCACCCACAGAAGAAGCACCGGCUAACUCCGUGCCAGCAGCCGCGGUAAUACGGAGGGUGCGUGCGUUAAUCGGAAUUACUGGGCGUAAAGCGCGCGUAGGCGGUCUGAUAAGCCGGUUGUGAAAGCCCCGGGCUCAACCUGGGAACGGCAUCCGGAACUGUCAGGCUAGAGUGCAGGAGAGGAAGGUAGAAUUCCCGGUGUAGCGGUGAAAUGCGUAGAGAUCGGGAGGAAUACCAGUGGCGAAGGCGGCCUUCUGGACUGACACUGACGCUGAGGUGCGAAAGCGUGGGUAGCAAACAGGAUUAGAUACCCGAGUAGUC
This 465-nucleotide ribosomal RNA is filed under the name Vreelandella stevensii. RNAcentral's name for it is "partial 16S ribosomal RNA". It matches the Rfam family "Bacterial small subunit ribosomal RNA", at positions 338 to 795 of the family's 1533-position model. Lineage: Bacteria; Pseudomonadati; Pseudomonadota; Gammaproteobacteria; Oceanospirillales; Halomonadaceae. The record is from RNAcentral.